RNAcentral lists this ribosomal RNA (506 nucleotides) under uncultured bacterium. RNAcentral describes it as "partial 16S ribosomal RNA". It matches the Rfam family "Bacterial small subunit ribosomal RNA", at positions 28 to 523 of the family's 1533-position model. The record is from RNAcentral.
GAUGAACGCUAGCUACAGGCUUAACACAUGCAAGUCGAGGGGUAACGAGAGGAAAGCUUGCUUUCCUUGUCGACGACCGGCGCACGGGUGAGUAACGCGUAUCCAACCUGCCCCCAACUAGGGAAUAACCUUGCGAAAGUAAGACUAAUACCCUAUAAUUUCCUCAGAUGUCAUCUGACGAGGAAUAAAGAUUUAUCGGUUGUGGAUGGGGAUGCGUCUGAUUAGCUUGUUGGCGGGGUAACGGCCCACCAAGGCAACGAUCAGUAGGGGUUCUGAGAGGAAGGUCCCCCACAUUGGGACUGAAACACGGUCCAAACUCCUACGGGAGGCGGCAGUGAGGAAUAUUGGUCAAUGGGCGGAAGCCUGAACCAGCCAAGUAGCGUGCAGGAUGACGGCCCUACGGGUUGUAAACUGCUUUUAUACAGGAAUAAAGUUAGCCACGUGUGGUUAUUUGUAGGUACUGUAUGAAUAAGGACCGGCUAAUUCCGUGCCAGCCGCCGCGGUAA